UACGUAGGGUGCAAGCGUUGUCCGGAAUUAUUGGGCGUAAAGAACUCGUAGGCGGUCUGUCGCGUCGGCUGUGAAAACUCGGGGCUCAACCCCGAGCCUGCAGUCGAUACGGGCAGACUAGAGUGCUGUAGGGGAGACUGGAAUUCCUGGUGUAGCGGUGAAAUGCGCAGAUAUCAGGAGGAACACCGGUGGCGAAGGCGGGUCUCUGGGCAGUAACUGACGCUGAGGAGCGAAAGCGUGGGGAGCGAACAGG
Molecule: ribosomal RNA, 253 nt
Filed under: uncultured bacterium
Lineage: Bacteria
Description: partial 16S ribosomal RNA
Rfam family: Bacterial small subunit ribosomal RNA
Source: RNAcentral